UAGAUAGGCAGGAUUGCAAAA
Caenorhabditis elegans is the source of this 21-nucleotide non-coding RNA. The record is from Ensembl. NCBI's taxonomy places the organism in Eukaryota, Metazoa, Nematoda, Chromadorea, Rhabditida, Rhabditidae.